Long non-coding RNA from Neopelma chrysocephalum (saffron-crested tyrant-manakin), 2789 nucleotides. RefSeq lists it as uncharacterized. The transcript is spliced from 4 exons. NCBI's taxonomy places the organism in Eukaryota, Metazoa, Chordata, Aves, Passeriformes, Pipridae. The record is from RefSeq and is a predicted model, not a curated record.
GCGCUGGCUGUCGGAGCCAGGGGUUACUUGCAGAGGUAGUGCGAUGUAGAAUGCCCGAGGCUGGCAGCAUUCCUCCUGCUGAGAAUGAGGGGCAACACAGCACGAUCCAAACUGUGGAGGCUGCUGACCUGUUGUGUCAGGAGCAUCUCAAAAGAACCAGGUAUCAAGAAUCUGGGCAAUACAUGAGGGCCAGCAGUGGCUGAGGAACUUGCACAAGGUGAGAGGUACCAGAUGCUUGCCAAGCUCAGUCCGGCUGCAUAGCACACUGCUCAGAUUUUCCUGCUGCUUCCUUCUAAGGUGCUAAUGAAGUUGUGUGAAUCAUUUUAUUUUGGUCCAGUGGAAAACUUGUUCUCUUGCUCUUGUGUGUUUCCAGCAAAAUACUUUGUCUCAGAGUAAAUUUUUGGAAGCUCAUAGUCCCUCCAACCAACAUUAAAACCACGUAUAUCUGCUGGUCUUUAGAAACAAAGGCACAUUUUGUUACAAACUCCCUUUAUGUUAUAGGAUGUUUUUCUUUCUUGUGAUUGACAAGAUAGCCUAAAUCAAUAUCCUUUUAUUUCCAGACCUCUAUUAUUUUGAAGAAAUCCGCAUCUGUCUUCAUGACAGUGUAGUGGCAUCAGAGGACACUCUAAGCAAGAAGUAACCAAUCUCUUUGGAGCUUGCAAAGGAAGGUGCAUCCCACAGAGCUGAUGUUAUGUGCACUACUUGUAGACAGAUUACGUUACAUGAAUGAAUUUGAUAGGAGUCACCAUGGUGAGGAAAGGAUAAUGGAAUUUCAGAUCUUAAGUGUUGUUCAAUGGAAUUCACCCUAAAAGAUGGAGAACUGCUGGGACAUGAAGAACAUAAAGCUCUAAGACUGUAUGUUGGAGAAAAGUUCCCUCAGAAGCGUGUGUUUAGAUGCCUUUGGUGACACAUGCUGCCUUGCCUGCCAUCCCUGCAAGUGUGGCCUCACUUUCACUGUUAUUGCAACAUGUGUCAAGUGAAAUGAAAACAGAAAUUUGGGAAAGGAUAUAAUUAACCUACUUGUAAACAUUAACCUUAAAUAUCUACCUAAUUAUCUCACUAAUUUAAUCACUGCAGAUCUCAAACUUGUUUGUUAAAUAUUUAAUUCUGCAAAUUGUUUUUGAUACAGAGGUGUGGGGAGCUUUCUGUGAAUGUAAGUUACUCUGUAAAACUUUGCAAGAUCGUUGUUAUGUUUGCACUUCUUUGAACAAACCCUGCUGUCAACAAGACUUUUAAUGGAAAUCACAAGAAACUGUGCCCUGAGGCUAAGAGAUAUAGUGCCCUAUUAUUUUAAAAUCUAAUGAACACAUUGUGCAUAAUGUAGACCAGGGUAAAUUUCUUCCUGCAUAUCUUCAGGUUUGAUUCCGUGGGAGUCUAGAGUUGAAAGUUCUUGGUUUCCUUGUUUCUUUGGUUGCGGUGCAGCUGUACAGUUAUUUCUUACCUAUUCACCUCUUUAUUACUUGAGGGACUCAGCAAAAUGCUGUCCUUGAUCUUCAGCCCUUUUUAUCAAGUCACUACCUCAUGCUAAAAGUAAUCCAAAAGGUGUUUAGAUGCUGCAGUUACAAUGCCACUCAAAGUGGCUCUAAUUAUUCCUGAGAGGAAAGUUUUGAAUUGGGAGUGUUUGUUGAGAAAAUGAAAGCUCCGUGUUUGUUCCUUCCUCCCCGAUGGGAAGGGGGCUGUGCUCGCACUGCCUCCUGCAAACACACACGAGGCCCAGCUGAGCACUGCAAGGAGGGCCAUGGGGAUGCCUCCAGCUGCUGGGGCUGGGAGAGGAAACAGCCAGGCUGUGGGUGCUGAGGAAAAUCCCAGAUGGAGCAGACAGCUAAGCAAGGACAAGCUCUGGAGGCACCUGAAUCCUCUGUUCCAUGAGAAGGUAGGGGCUCUCAGCUGUGCGGUGCCUCCCCUCCCUCUAUCACUCCCCAGGGGCUUCAGCCAUCCAUCCCCACAUUUCAGGCUGUACCCACAUGGCAGUUCUGCAACGCUAUUUUCUUCAUUUUUGUUAUAUAAGUCUCCUUAAUUGAGGAAGAAGGUGGAAAAUUGGGACUGACAUUGUGUUUCUGUCCUGUAGUUCUUACUAUCAGAUGAAGAUGCAAAGCUAUACUAAGGCCAGGUGAUGGCUCACAGCAGACCUCUGACAGGAGCCAUGUGAUUAGUUAGAUGUCCAUAUAAAUACCUAUUUGCACUAUAUUACUACCUUAUUAUAUAUUAUUUGGAAUUUCAUCCUGAUUGUCUAUAUUUAUUACAUACAAUUCAUACAUUUAUUUAUUACUUACAAUUCAUAUAUUUAUUAUACACAAUUCAUACAUUUAUUACACACAAUUCAUUUAUUACAUGCACAAUUCAUACUGUUUAGUUCAAUAAGAAACAAAUUUCUGUGAAUUUGGCUGAAUAAAGCUGUGUUUGUUCUUGUUAGUUAUCCAAAGUCUCAUUCUUUCUAUGCAUUAUCUAAAUUUCUGGGCAUUUUUCCCCUUCAUUUACUCCAAAAAUUACUUCAAUACUAAUGAAAACUGAAAGACAGCCAAGACAGGGUGAACUUUUGGACAAUUUAUGCAAACAUGACAGAUGAGAAUAGAUUUACUAUAAACAUGCCAGGCACAAAAGACUUGACUGCUUUUUAAAUACAGUGAUACUGGAAGAGAUUUAUGGAUAUUUUCAACUGUUCAUUAAAGAGAAAGAUAUUUUGAAACUAUAGGCACUAUCCUUUUAUCCAUUUUUGCCUUCCAGGCUGAGUUGCAAACCUUUGAUGUUUUCUUCACCAAAAAAUAAAAGUAGUUAUGAAUUUAUUUCUC